AGCCGCCCUCCCUGCCCGCGCCUGCGCACCGGCUGCUGGGCGGGAACUGGUCGCGUCCGGACCCGCGACGGCUCCCACCCGCCUUAGGCGGAAUCAGCCGCGCCGCAGUCGGAGGAAAUAGACGCGGGGCCUGAGGCUCAUGGACUUGAGCAAGCCUGUUACCCUCUGCGAGCCUCAACUUCCCUAUGUGUAACAAAUGGCCAAUUUUAUGGGAUUGUCAAGAAGCUGAAAUGAGACCCUGGCUGGAGGAUAUUUUAUGGACUAUAAGUUCCUACACAAUUAUAAUGACUUAGUUAUUUAUCCUAUCCAUGGAUCACCUGGAAGUUUACAGUGUGAUUUAAAAUGCAUUCUGUCAUUCCACCGACCUGCAGUGAAUUUUGUUGUCGUUAUUACUCCAGGGAUACCUAAAGGGGAAGUUUGCUCAUAAUUCGUACCCACUCCGUGUAGAAAGGAUUCAAGGCAGCCGAUGAUGAAAACCCCCAUGCUUGCAAGUGAAGGUUCUGCCUGUCACUCCUCGCAGAGGCUGCAGAAAAGGCCCAGGAGGCUGUUGAUGACAUGAACGACCACCAGGAGAAGCUGGAGCAGGCUGAUGCACAGAAGGGCGGAGAAGAGGGACACGUGCCAGACAACAGCUGCAGAGGGCUCCAGGCAGAUGGAGUUCCAGAGCCAACGGUCAUACAGAUAAUUCCUAUCCCAAAAAAUAAGGAGACCACGAAUCAGGCGAUAAGUCUUUGAAUGGGUAACCAUAUUUCCAAGCCUGUGUCUGAUUGAAGGACGAAACAUCAAACAUGCAAAAAGGACCAUCUUUCAGAGCAACUCCAGAAGUGACAAAGCAAAUCAGGGCUCCAAGUAAAGCCAGGCCACUUGACAACAGAGCAUGUUUUUCUGCAGAGUCAUGGAGUCAGUCUCCCACUGAGGUCAAGCUGGUUUGGAGUUGGGAAGGGAUCGGAGAAAGCUGCAUAAGUUUUGACUCUGAGUUAAAAGAUUCAAGAUGAAUCAGUAAGCCUAGAGCAGUGGUUCCCAAAACGGGGCCCCUGCCCAGCUGCAUCACAUCACCUGAGAACCUGUUAGAAAUGCAAAACUUCCCCCCAAUCCUGAAUCAGAAACUCUGGGGAGGGAGCCCAGCAAUCUGUGUUCCGGCAAAAGCCCUCCAGGUGAUUCUGAUGCACAUUCAAGCGUCAGAACUACGUGCCUCGGGGAAAACCAGAUGGGACUGAGAACAGACAGUGAAUGAAAUAUGAAAGCCUGAAACUGGAAAGAUGAAGCAACUUGCCCAAGAACUUAGCGUUAUUGAGGGUCACAGUGAGGACCUGACUUCAGGCCCCAAGACCAAAAUUGCCUCUUUACCACCCUGCAUCUAGAGUAAUAGAGGUGGAGACAUUCUCGGUGUUAGAAGAGUGGAAUCUGGUGCUUACGCUUCGACAGAGCCCACUCGUACUGAAGCAGCCGUAUCUCCAGCCCAUCAAGGAGAUGAGGAUAGCUGCAGUGAGUACCUGCAGGGGAGAGAAGAAUGUUGAGAUGGGGAAAUUGACUUUGCCAGCUGUUUCCAGGUGCUGCCCACAGCUGUUAGAGUGGCUGGCACCUCACAUGAACUCGAUCGUCCCGUUGACUCUGACUCUGGGGACCCACAUUGGUAUGACUAGCCUGAUCUAACGCUGUGGAUGUUAACUUUCACAUCCGACCUGCAUGGUCCCAAGCCAGUCUUCCUGUCUCUUAGAGCUUCUGCAGACCCAAGACCAGCUUGUUAGAAUAAACUUUUCUGCAAGGAAUCAAAACACUCUUCCCAUGCCACCUUCCUGCUCCCUGCCAGGGUCUCUUUGAGCGUUCACAUUCAGGGAACCCCAGACACUUACCAUGAGGCCUCCUCCCCAGAGCCCAGUUCCCAGCAUGGCAUGCCUGCCAAUGAGGCCCCUCAACAGGUAGGUCACAUCCCAGUUAGGAAAGAGGAGUGCCAUGUUGGCCCCAGCAGCAAACAGGGCUGCAGUCCCAAGGCUCAGUCCCAGGAUACGGGAGCAAGUCCGUGAGCUUGCCGGCGUGCAGGGAGAGGACACCAUCCUGGAACAGAUAGAAAGGGAGUUGCAGCAGCUCUGCUGUGGGGGGAUGGGGAAGGGAACUCCAGCAGCAUAUGAUGGGUGGGGGAAACAGACUACAGAAACCACCACCUUCCAGGGUCAGACCAAUGAGAGCCAAGCAACCUGCUUAAAAACUUUGCUCGUUAUGAAUCUUCCCCAGUGACUAGGAUUUAAUUGUUUCCUUUUCUGCUAACCCCUGUUCACACAUACAUAGUUUGCAUUCCAUCAUAUUUUGUCUAUGCCUCUAUUACAGCCAGUGAUUAUUUCUGACAAAAAGAAAUGUUGAAAGGUGUCUUCA
Molecule: long non-coding RNA, 2370 nt
Organism: Pongo pygmaeus (Bornean orangutan)
Lineage: Eukaryota; Metazoa; Chordata; Mammalia; Primates; Hominidae
Exons: 5
Source: RefSeq, a predicted model, not a curated record